RNAcentral lists this ribosomal RNA (1346 nucleotides) under uncultured bacterium. RNAcentral's name for it is "bacterial SSU rRNA". It matches the Rfam family "Bacterial small subunit ribosomal RNA", at positions 28 to 1381 of the family's 1533-position model. The record is from RNAcentral.
GACGAACGCUGGCUGCGUGCUUAACACAUGCAAGUCGAACGGAAAGGCCCUGCUUUUGUGGGGUGCUCGAGUGGCGAACGGGUGAGUAACACGUGAGUAACCUGCCCUUGACUUUGGGAUAACUUCAGGAAACUGGGGCUAAUACCGGAUAGGAGCUCCUGCUGCAUGGUGGGGGUUGGAAAGUUUCGGCGGUUGGGGAUGGACUCGCGGCUUAUCAGCUUGUUGGUGGGGUAGUGGCUUACCAAGGCUUUGACGGGUAGCCGGCCUGAGAGGGUGACCGGCCACAUUGGGACUGAGAUACGGCCCAGACUCCUACGGGUGGCAGCAGUGGGGAAUAUUGCACAAUGGGCGGAAGCCUGAUGCAGCAACGCCGCGUGCGGGAUGACGGCCUUCGGGUUGUAAACCGCUUUCGCCUGUGACGAAGCGUGAGUGACGGUAAUGGGUAAAGAAGCACCGGCUAACUACGUGCCAGCAGCCGCGGUGAUACGUAGGGUGCGAGCGUUGUCCGGAUUUAUUGGGCGUAAAGGGCUCGUAGGUGGUUGAUCGCGUCGGAAGUGUAAUCUUGGGGCUUAACCCUGAGCGUGCUUUCGAUACGGGUUGACUUGAGGAAGGUAGGGGAGAAUGGAAUUCCUGGUGGAGCGGUGGAAUGCGCAGAUAUCAGGAGGAACACCAGUGGCGAAGGCGGUUCUCUGGGCCUUUCCUGACGCUGAGGAGCGAAAGCGUGGGGAGCGAACAGGCUUAGAUACCCUGGUAGUCCACGCUGUAAACGGUGGGUACUAGGUGUGGGGUCCAUUCCACGGGUUCCGUGCCGUAGCUAACGCUUUAAGUACCCCGCCUGGGGAGUACGGCCGCAAGGCUAAAACUCAAAGGAAUUGACGGGGCCCCGCACAAGCGGCGGAGCAUGCGGAUUAAUUCGAUGCAACGCGUAGAACCUUACCUGGGUUUGACAUGGAUCGGGAGCGCUCAGAGAUGGGUGUGCCUCUUUUGGGGUCGGUUCACAGGUGGUGCAUGGCUGUCGUCAGCUCGUGUCGUGAGAUGUUGGGUUAAGUCCCGCAACGAGCGCAACCCUUGUUCACUGUUGCCAGCACGUUAUGGUGGGGACUCAGUGGAGACCGCCGGGGUCAACUCGGAGGAAGAUGGGGAUGACGUCAAGUCAUCAUGCCCCUUAUGUCCAGGGCUUCACGCAUGCUACAAUGGCUGGUACAGAGAGUGGCGAGCCUGUGAGGGUGAGCGAAUCUCGGAAAGCCGGUCUCAGUUCGGAUUGGGGUCUGCAACUCGACCUCAUGAAGUCGGAGUCGCUAGUAAUCGCAGAUCAGCAACGCUGCGGUGAAUACGUUCCCGGGGCU